Pelmatolapia mariae (spotted tilapia) is the source of this 1415-nucleotide long non-coding RNA. RefSeq lists it as uncharacterized. Lineage: Eukaryota; Metazoa; Chordata; Actinopteri; Cichliformes; Cichlidae. The record is from RefSeq and is a predicted model, not a curated record. The transcript has 5 exons.
CCGUAUAUUUAUACAUUUCCGAAAUCACAUUGUAGUGACGUGUACUGAACACAAUAUAUUAUAUAAUGUAAACAACUACCUGAGAAACAGCAGAUACAGCAGCUAAAUUAAUUAUAGGCCAUUACUUUUGUAUCGUUUAUUGCAUUUAUGGAGGGAGUGGUGCAUGCUGGGUAAUGGCACAGCUAGCGACUGGGUGACUUUAUUCACCCGCUUCGGCUGCUAUCGGUCCAUACAAUGGGCGUUAUUAGCAGGAAUCAGUCCCAUAGAUAUGGGCCAUCCACCUGCUAGAUUGUUCAGAAGGUUGGUAUCAUCCAUCCAGAUGGAGGAUCACUGACAGGAGCGUGGAAGACUCCAGAAUCCACUCUGGCUGGAAUCCGGUGGAUACAGCAGUGUUCCAGGUACAGUAUGUGAUAUUCAGGGCAGGCGGUCAUCACUGGGGGAAGAAAAGAAGCAGACAUACUUCCAAGAGGGAGCUGCAGUGAGGACACAGCCUGGUCACUGAGGAGGCACUGAAAGGUUUCCCUAAUAGUUCCUGGUGAAUCAAAGCAGAACCAUAAAGGUUGCUGGACUGCAUGAUGGCCUUACCCCUGAGCAGUCAUCCUGUUAAAGGAGGAACCAGUUAGAAGCUGUUUUCAAAGUAGCUGAGCAGAUUUCAUCUCAACAGACAAAGCCGAUGGCAGAAGAUGUUUGGAGAAGAACUUCAGGCCCUGUACUGACAAGUAGAUCAAAGCAGCUCGUGCUCUUUCUGCUUCCAUUUUGAUGGCAAGAAGAAGAAGACUUCAGCGAAGUGGCGUUCAUGGUCUCAGUGGACAGUCAUGGUCACACACUGCGUGUGGUUUUAAAAGCAACAUGUCUGUUCACCACAACAAUGGAGAUGUGUAAUAUUAGUGCAGCUACGGUUUGUUCUUGAACAUCAGUUCUGUUUUCUACUUUGACCACUUAGACCAAAAAAAGUGUUGUUUUCGGAUUCUUUCUUAUAAAUCUGUAAAGCACCUGCUCAUUUUUUUAUUACAAUUAGUUUCACAUAAAUAGUAGUGUUUCCUUUAUGAUCUUUUAAUGCUUACACUAGACUGUACACGUCUACAUUAGAGACAUUUCUGUUACCUAUUUAUGAGACUGGGCUGCUUGACUACAAUUUGGAAAUGGAUGCAAAAUCACACGGAUCGUGCUAUUGUUUGUUUUUUAAUAUGAUGGACUGAACACAGGAGGUAUCUGACUAAGCAAAGAUUAAUCUGAUCCCAUUUCUACCUGUCUCUGCUGUUUCAACAUUUCACUGAAGUUUGCUCAACUGUAACUGUCAGGAUAUAUAUUUAUUCCAGCUCUCAUAGGGCAAAGGAAUGACUCAGACUUGUCAAAUGUUCUUUGACUUGAUACACAAUAUGAAGUUCACAAUUUUCUUACAAAUAAAACUAUAA